UACAGAGGUCCCAAGCGUUGUUCGGAUUCACUGGGCGUAAAGGGUGCGUAGGUGGUUGGGUAAGUUUGAUGUGAAAUCUCCGGGCCUAACCCGGAAACUGCAUUGAAUACUAUUCAGCUUGAGGGUUGGAGAGGAGACUGGAAUUCUCGGUGUAGCAGUGAAAUGCGUAGAUAUCGAGAGGAACACCUGUGGCGAAGGCGAGUCUCUGGACAAUUCCUGACACUGAGGCACGAAAGCUAGGGGAGCAAACAGG
Molecule: ribosomal RNA, 253 nt
Filed under: uncultured bacterium
Lineage: Bacteria
Description: partial 16S ribosomal RNA
Rfam family: Bacterial small subunit ribosomal RNA
Source: RNAcentral